UACGGAGGGUGCUAGCGUUGUUCGGAAUUACUGGGCGUAAAGCGCGCGUAGGCGGCUUUGUAAGUUAGAGGUGAAAGCCCGGGGCUCAACCCCGGAACUGCCUUUAAGACUGCAUCGCUUGAAUCCGGGAGAGGUGAGUGGAAUUCCGAGUGUAGAGGUGAAAUUCGUAGAUAUUCGGAAGAACACCAGUGGCGAAGGCGGCUCACUGGACCGGCAUUGACGCUGAGGUGCGAAAGCCAGGGGAGCGAACGGG
Molecule: ribosomal RNA, 253 nt
Filed under: uncultured bacterium
Lineage: Bacteria
Description: partial 16S ribosomal RNA
Rfam family: Bacterial small subunit ribosomal RNA
Source: RNAcentral